This 465-nucleotide ribosomal RNA is filed under the name Vreelandella stevensii. Its description in RNAcentral is "partial 16S ribosomal RNA". It matches the Rfam family "Bacterial small subunit ribosomal RNA", at positions 338 to 795 of the family's 1533-position model. The record is from RNAcentral. Lineage: Bacteria; Pseudomonadati; Pseudomonadota; Gammaproteobacteria; Oceanospirillales; Halomonadaceae.
CCUACGGGUGGCUGCAGUGGGGAAUAUUGGACAAUGGGCGAAAGCCUGAUCCAGCCAUGCCGCGUGUGUGAAGAAGGCCUUCGGGUUGUAAAGCACUUUCAGUGGGGAAGAAAGCCUUGGGGCUAAUACCCUCGAGGAAGGACAUCACCCACAGAAGAAGCACCGGCUAACUCCGUGCCAGCAGCCGCGGUAAUACGGAGGGUGCGAGCGUUAAUCGGAAUUACUGGGCGUAAAGCGCGCGUAGGCGGUCUGAUAAGCCGGUUGUGAAAGCCCCGGGCUCAACCUGGGAACGGCAUCCGGAACUGUCAGGCUAGAGUGCAGGAGAGGAAGGUAGAAUUCCCGGUGUAGCGGUGAAAUGCGUAGAGAUCGGGAGGAAUACCAGUGGCGAAGGCGGCCUUCUGGACUGACACUGACGCUGAGGUGCGAAAGCGUGGGUAGCAAACAGGAUUAGGUACCCCAGUAGUC